AACGAACGCUGGCGGCGUGCCUAACACAUGCAAGUCGUGCGAGAAAAGUUCCUUCGGGAGCGAGUAAAGCGGCGCACGGGUGAGUAACACGUAGGUAACCUGCCCCCCAGUCUGGAACAACUAGAGGAAACUCUAGCUAAUGCCGGAUAAGACCACGGCCCCCUCGGGGGCUGCGGCCAAAGAUGGCCUCUACUUGUACGCUAUCGCUGAGGGAUGGGCCUGCGGGCCAUUAGCUUGUUGGUGAGGUAACGGCUCACCAAGGCUGUGAUGGCUAGCUGGUCUGAGAGGAUGACCAGCCACACUGGGACUGAGACACGGCCCAGACUCCUACGGAGGCAGCAGUGGGGAAUAUUGCGCAAUGGGCGAAAGCCUGACGCAGCGACGCCGCGUGGGUGAUGAAGGCCUCGGUCGUAAGACCCU
Molecule: ribosomal RNA, 420 nt
Filed under: uncultured bacterium
Lineage: Bacteria
Description: bacterial SSU rRNA
Rfam family: Bacterial small subunit ribosomal RNA
Source: RNAcentral